UGGACAAGAUAACAGGUUGAUCAAACAGCAUUGAUCAACCCGUCUUCUUAUCCGCC
Molecule: microRNA precursor, 56 nt
Filed under: Heligmosomoides polygyrus
Lineage: Eukaryota; Metazoa; Nematoda; Chromadorea; Rhabditida; Heligmosomidae
Description: microRNA hpo-mir-10047 precursor
Source: miRBase by way of RNAcentral